Macadamia integrifolia is the source of this 2774-nucleotide long non-coding RNA. RefSeq lists it as uncharacterized. The record is from RefSeq and is a predicted model, not a curated record. The transcript is spliced from 5 exons. NCBI's taxonomy places the organism in Eukaryota, Viridiplantae, Streptophyta, Magnoliopsida, Proteales, Proteaceae.
UAGGUAUCGAGUGCAGCGUGCGGGGAAUUUCUUUUGCUCUUGCUACUCGGACUAGCAACCAAUGAAAUAGAAUAUUUACCCUUCUUAUGGGUUUAUAUUUAUAAAUAUUGAUAAUUUUACCGUUGAAGAUUCCAUUUAUUUGGUUGCGAGUCCUGGUAGCAGGAACGGUAGCAGCUAAAUUUCGUCCCGCUAUGUGGUGAGUGAACUCAAAAAAAUCUAGGGUUUCAGUGCGUUCCUUCUGUUCGGUUGGCGUGGUCCGGCAUUGUCCCGCGAAAAUUAGGGUUAGUUAGAUGUAAUUCGAAACUAAAGUUCUGCAGAACUGAGAUCUUACUUGGGAUUGAUUACGAUCUUUCUUUCAACACUUUCGAAUGACUUCAAUUCAGUUCGGCUAGGCAGUAGAAACGGAGAACUUCUACUCGCUGUAUGUCGUUAAUCGAAAUGGAUAUUUAAGUUCAUUUAAUUUUGUAAAGGUGAAGCUUUGGGUUUUCAGAAAGAUAAUAAUGGUUUUCAGUUUGAAACGGAUCAUAGAGUCGGAGAAGAAAAAGAAGAAGGUGUUUUUUUUAAUCCUAAACGGGAAUUGUUUCAGUGAAAGGAGAAUGGAAGAUGAUAACAGUAGCAACGGAUCAGUGUCCGGAAGGCGAGGAAUGCCAUUCGAACUUCGAUUUCUGACAAGCUUGGGCGGUCUAUUGGGAGGCUAGGGUUCAGAAGACAAAGGAAAUCGAUAAGGGAUCAAGCAUUAGUGUGCAAUCUGCUAUCACUUUGAGGUGUUUUGAUUCAGUAUCGGACUGAUAUGGCCAAUCCGAAUUGGUAUCGGUAUCGAUUUUGGUUUUGUUUGCACCAAACCUUGAACCGAAUCCCUUGGCGGUGAGCAAGUUAAUGGAGAUACACAACAACCAAUUUCUCUGUAGUGGGUGGUUAAUUGUGGUAGAAGUAAGGCCAAGCUUGCUUUUUGGAGAAACGGAAAGGUUUAUUCUGGACAAUGUCUCCGAGAUGACAAUUAACAUCUAUCAUUCCCCCACUGUGGAUCUGCUGAAAAAACACACACAUUUGACCAAGGCAUCAAGAUCAUGGUGCUGUCAAGAACCAUUGGAGAUGUUGUACUUGUCCAGGAUGGAAGUACAAUGCAGAAAAAAUUUAAAUUGAUUGGAAUGGACAUAUUGGUAUUGUAUCCUUCCUUUCUGCUUGAUCUAUGAUUCAGUUUUCCUUGUCAAGCACUUAACCUGAUACAAGUUUGAGUUUAUUUACCUCCCAUUACAUUGAUUUGCCUCUCCCCUUCAAUAACAUGAGAAAUUAAAGAGUACAAUAAUUAAAAAAAAAAAAAAAAUCAUUAAAAGAUGCUGUAUACUAGGUAGCACCCCACCUUAUCCUCAAAAUCCCAGCACCUUACUUCUAUCCAUGUAGACUAGCCUGAAUGUGCAUAAUGUGUGAGCUGCUAUGUUAUUACUAACUCUCUGGAAUGAUCUACCUGACAGCUGGUUUCAGAUUUUCUUUGACUGACAUUUUAAAUAUAUGAGAUACCUAACUAGGGAAUACGGAGGUAGAAUGAAAAAGAUAAAUAGAGGGAAGAAAAAGGAAAUCAGUGAAACUCAAACCCAUGGAUUUUUCGGCUGACUUAUUGCUACCCUUCCCUCCCCAACCCAUCUCUCCGCAAGACGAAGAAAAAAAAACUGUAAAUUCUUGUCGAGUUGGCUAGAAAUCAUCUAACCAUGCUGUUGCUAUAUAGGUGAAUAAUAAUUGUUCUUCACUAAAAUGUCCUUUUACUUUGUGUCAUUGCCUGUGGAGCAUGUUGUUUGCAGUCUCUAUUCUCAGGAUGCCUAAUAUUUGUCACUUGUUAAGUAGGAUACAUUGUCAUAACACCUAAUAGACACAAUUGGAAAGGUCAGUCCAAGCUCUCUUCACCAAUAUGUCUACUUACAUUUUGGAAUACAUACUCUGCAUAUUGCAGUCAUCUCGUUUUCUUCUCUUUCUAUAUGUGCAGGGUACACUUUCAAUGUUAAUUUAGGGGUUGUGGCAUCACUUGGGCUUCAUUCCUUUGGGAUUUCAAUUAUUCCAUCCAGUUUGGUAGGCAGAUUACUUCUCUUAUUCUUAUUACAGAACUGAUAAAAAGUAUACAUUGUAACCAUAAAAGUUGGUGCACAUUGUCAUUUGUUGAAGAACGUCGGGACCACACUCCAGUUUCAGCGCUUGGCUGUUUAAGUGAACAUUGCAUACAUGGUCUCCACUUUCUUCAACUAAGUGAUGCAUGCAAAUCCAAGUGCUUUGAAUCUGUUUUAGUUCCGCCAGGUGAUAUCUUUGACCGUAUGUGUGUGGACAAAAAGAACCGUUAUAAAGUAUUGAAGCAAUGGUUCACUAUCCUUUUCAGGUAAGCACAUUUGCUUUGAUUGUUGAGGAUGUGCUUAGAGUUACAUCUGAUACUGUCGUAUUGCAUGAAGCCACAGCAUCCCGGAUUCAAAGACACAAUGGUAUCUAUAUAAUUUGUAAUAUACCCAGUCAAUUGUCCUGGUUUAUCCCCAAAAAUAAUUGUGUAUAUAGAAUGUAUAUACAAGUCGUCUAUGCUAACCCCCUGGACUUUCCUACCUCAGGCUGACCUUGUUUGGGAUUUCCUAAACCUGAGGUCAACCAUGGGCUUCAAAUCCCAGCAGAGCCCUGCUAAAGGUCAGGUUGGGCCUUAUGGGGUUUUGGCUUGGCUCCGCCCUAGUUACACUACAAAAUGCAACCUUUGUUUUUUUCGCUUUACAUUCCACCAGUAAUUCAAUGUUUAUCUGUUUCACUGA